This 505-nucleotide ribosomal RNA is filed under the name uncultured bacterium. RNAcentral describes it as "partial 16S ribosomal RNA". It matches the Rfam family "Bacterial small subunit ribosomal RNA", at positions 28 to 507 of the family's 1533-position model. The record is from RNAcentral.
GACGAACGCUGGCGGCGUGCCUAAUACAUGCAAGUAGAACGCACAGUUUAUACCGUAGCUUGCUACACCAUAGACUGUGAGUUGCGAACGGGUGAGUAACGCGUAGGUAACCUGCCUGGUAGCGGGGGAUAACUAUUGGAAACGAUAGCUAAUACCGCAUAAUAUUAAUUAUUGCAUGAUAAUUAAUUGAAAGGUGCAAUUGCACCACUACCAGAUGGACCUGCGUUGUAUUAGCUAGUAGGUGAGGUAACGGCUCACCUAGGCGACGAUACAUAGCCGACCUGGGAGGGUGAUCGGCCACACUGGGACUGAGACACGGCCCAGACUCCUACGGGAGGCAGCAGUAGGGAAUCUUCGGCAAUGGACGAAAGUCUGACCGAGCAACGCCGCGUGAGUGAAGAAGGUUGUCGGAUCGUAAAGCUCUGUUGUAAGAGAAGAACGGGUGUGAGAGUGGAAAGUUCACACUGUGACGGUAUCUUACCAGAAAGGGGCGGCUAACUACGUG